CACGUAGUUAGCCGGUGCUUCUUUACCCAUUACCGUCACUCACGCUUCGUCACAGGCGAAAGCGGUUUACAACCCGAAGGCCGUCAUCCCGCACGCGGCGUUGCUGCAUCAGGCUUCCGCCCAUUGUGCAAUAUUCCCCACUGCUGCCUCCCGUAGGAGUCUGGGCCGUAUCUCAGUCCCAAUCGUGGCCGGUCACCCUCUCAGGCCGGCUACCCGUCAAACGCCUUGGUAAGCCACUACCCCACCAACAAGCUGAUAAGCCGCGAGUCCAUCCCCAACCGCCGAAACUUUCCAACCCCCACCAUGCAGCAGGAGCUCCUAUCCGGUAUUACGCCCCAGUUUCCUGAAGUUAUCCCAAAGUCAAAGGGCAGGUUACUACACGUGUUACUCACCCGUUCGCCACUCGAGCCACCCCACAAAACGCAGGGCCUUUCCGUCGACUUGCAUGCGUUAAGCACGCC
This 461-nucleotide ribosomal RNA is filed under the name uncultured Propionibacterium sp. Its description in RNAcentral is "partial 16S ribosomal RNA". The record is from RNAcentral. Lineage: Bacteria; Bacillati; Actinomycetota; Actinomycetes; Propionibacteriales; Propionibacteriaceae.